CAGUCGCCACGGUAAUACGAGGGGAGCUAGCGUUGUUCGGAAUUACUGGGCGUAAAGCGCGCGUAGGCGGCUUUUUAAGUCAGAGGUGAAAGCCCGGGGCUCAACCCCGGAAUUGCCUUUGAAACUGGAAAGCUAGAAUCUUGGAGAGGUCAGUGGAAUUCCGAGUGUAGAGGUGAAAUUCGUAGAUAUUCGGAAGAACACCAGUGGCGAAGGCGACUGACUGGACAAGUAUUGACGCUGAGGUGCGAAAGCGUGGGGAGCAAACAGGAUUAGAUACCCCGGUAGUCCCUGUCUCUUAUAC
This 301-nucleotide ribosomal RNA is filed under the name uncultured bacterium. Its description in RNAcentral is "partial 16S ribosomal RNA". It matches the Rfam family "Bacterial small subunit ribosomal RNA", at positions 509 to 807 of the family's 1533-position model. The record is from RNAcentral.